UUUUGGAAAAUAACAAUAAAAAAUUAUAUAAAACUGAGUCAAAAAAAAAUACAUGAAUUUAACCAUCGAGUUAUUCCAAAAUCGUCGCGGAUAUUGUGAAUGCAACAACAACACUGAACACGAAACAAUUGCCGCGAGAGUUGAUCGAAGACUAUUUUAAGUGCAAUGGUUUCACACGCUCAUUACUCAAAGCCGAUUGGAGCAGAGAGCUGCAGGAGUUUCCCGCUCUAUAAGCAAUUAUUUGCAUAUCCCUAAUCAUGAGCUUGCUUGGCUGGGCUUGGUUCAUUUAUGAGCCGAAAACCGCAUUGAGCGGUUGCUGUACAUGUUGCUGGAUUGUGUCCUUUAAGUAGCAUCCCAAUAGGAACUGCUUACACAGCAAAGCAUUCUGCUCCCUAACUCGUAGCAUAGAUGCUUUCCUGUGCAAGUGAUGCUCCGGCGAGAUCAGGAGGUGUC
RNAcentral lists this long non-coding RNA (453 nucleotides) under Ceratitis capitata (Mediterranean fruit fly). Its description in RNAcentral is "uncharacterized LOC110119116, transcript variant X2". Lineage: Eukaryota; Metazoa; Arthropoda; Insecta; Diptera; Tephritidae. The record is from RNAcentral.